Helianthus annuus (common sunflower) is the source of this 449-nucleotide long non-coding RNA. RefSeq lists it as uncharacterized. The transcript has 3 exons. Lineage: Eukaryota; Viridiplantae; Streptophyta; Magnoliopsida; Asterales; Asteraceae. The record is from RefSeq and is a predicted model, not a curated record.
GUGUGUGUGGGUGUCGUAGGAACAAGAAGGGAAGAAGGGAAAACCCUCAUCUUCACAAAAUCAGGAAAAUUGAAGGGAAAUCAUGGCUUAAAUCAUUGCAUGAACACAUAGAAUCGUUCAUCUAAGCUAGUCUAACAAGAGGAGUUAAGGAAGAAGGCUCAAGUAGUUCCGGAUCGCAAACAAACAACGACAAAGGUAAAUCGUCUUGAUAGGCGACGUUACGUUGGAAUGGACACACUAUCUCAAAAGCUUCCGCUAUGAUACUUGACUAACGGGUCAAAACUUUUGUAACAAGACUUUAUGUUAUGUUUUAGCUUUUGUAAACACUUAACUUUAAAAGAUUUCGGAACUCAUGUCAUUUAUGUUUAUAAUGGUUAUUUUGAAAUUGGAUGUAAACUUUUAUGUAAGUUAAGUUGGGUGUUUAUGUCAAAGUUUUAUAGUUGAUUUUA